Molecule: unclassified non-coding RNA, 148 nt
Organism: Macaca fascicularis (crab-eating macaque)
Lineage: Eukaryota; Metazoa; Chordata; Mammalia; Primates; Cercopithecidae
Rfam family: Metazoan signal recognition particle RNA
About the family: The signal recognition particle (SRP) is a universally conserved ribonucleoprotein. It is involved in the co-translational targeting of proteins to membranes.
Source: Ensembl
GCUGGGUGUGGUGGUGCACGCCUGUAAUCCCAGCUACUUAGGAGGCUGAGGCAGGAGAAUCGCUUGAAUCCGGGAUGGGGAGGUCGCAGUGGGCUGAGAUCGUGCCACUGCACUCCAACCUGGGCAACACAGUGAGACCCUGUCUCAA